Molecule: ribosomal RNA, 469 nt
Filed under: uncultured bacterium
Lineage: Bacteria
Description: SSU rRNA
Rfam family: Bacterial small subunit ribosomal RNA
Source: RNAcentral
AGGAUAAACGCUGGCGGCGUGCCUAACACAUGCAAGUCGAACGCGCUUUCGGGCUUCGGUGCGAGAGCGAGUGGCGGACGGGUGAGUAACACAUGGGUACCUACCUUGGAGUGAGGGAUACCGGCGAGAAAUCGCCGACAAUACCGCAUAGGCUUCUUCACAAGGGAAGCAAAGUGACGCGAGUCACGCUGUGAGAUGGGCCUGUGGCCGAUUAGCUAGUUGGGGGGUAACGGCUUCCCAAGGCGACGAUCGGUAGCUGGUCUGAGAGGACGAUCAGCCACACUGGGAUUGAGAACGGCCCAGACUCCUACGGGGGCAGCAGUGAGGAAUUUUCCGCAAUGGAGGCAACUCUGACGGAGCAACGCCGCGUGCAGGAGGAAGGUUUUCGGAUCGUAAACUGCUUUUCUCGGGGACGAGCAAGGACGGUAACCCGAGGAAGAAGCCCGGCUAACUACGCGCCAGCAGCCGC